Molecule: ribosomal RNA, 510 nt
Filed under: uncultured bacterium
Lineage: Bacteria
Description: partial 16S ribosomal RNA
Rfam family: Bacterial small subunit ribosomal RNA
Source: RNAcentral
GACGAACGCUGGCGGCGUGCCUAAUACAUGCAAGUCGCGCGAAUGACGAGAAGCUUGCUUCUCUGAUUUAGCGGCGGACGGGUGAGUAACACGUGGGCAACCUGCCCUACAGAUCGGGAUAACUCAGGGAAACCUGGGCUAAUACCGGAUCAUCCUUCGAAUCACAUGUUUUGAAGUUGAAAGGCGCUUCGGCGUCACUGUAGGAUGGGCCAGGGGUGCAUUAGCUAGUUGGUGGGGUAACGGCCUACCAAGGCAACGAGGCAUCGCCGACCUGAGAGGGUGAUCGGCCACAUUGGGACUGAGACACGGCCCAAACUCCUACGGGAGGCAGCAGUAGGGAAUCUUCCACAAUGGACGAAAGUCUGAUGGAGCAACGCCGCGUGAGUGAUGAAGGUUUUCGGAUCGUAAAACUCUGUUGUAAGGGAAGAACAAGUACGUUAGGAAAUGAACGUACCUUGACGGUACCUUAUUAGAAAGCCACGGCUAACUACGUGCCAGCAGCCGCAGUAA